Molecule: non-coding RNA, 98 nt
Organism: Fusarium poae
Lineage: Eukaryota; Fungi; Ascomycota; Sordariomycetes; Hypocreales; Nectriaceae
Source: Rfam
UCCCGGGUGACGCAAUUGGUUAGCGUGUCAGACUUUUACAGCUACACAAAUAGCAAAAGUAAAUCUGAAAGUUGCGGGUUCAAGUCCCGCCUCGGGAG